GAGGGACGGAGAAGGCUAGGCCAGCUUGGCGUUGGUUGUCCAAGUUUAAGGUGGUAGGCUGGAAUCUUAGGUAAAUCCGGGAUUCUAAGGCCGAGAGCUGAUGACGAGUUAUCUUUUAGAUAACGAAGUGGUUGAUGCCAUGCUUCCAAGAAAAGCUUCUAAGCUUCAGGUAACCAGGAACCGUACCCCAAACCGACACAGGUGGUUGGGUAGAGAAUACCAAGGCGCUUG
RNAcentral lists this ribosomal RNA (231 nucleotides) under Pseudomonas carnis. RNAcentral describes it as "partial 23S ribosomal RNA". It matches the Rfam family "Bacterial large subunit ribosomal RNA", at positions 1467 to 1692 of the family's 2925-position model. Lineage: Bacteria; Pseudomonadati; Pseudomonadota; Gammaproteobacteria; Pseudomonadales; Pseudomonadaceae. The record is from RNAcentral.